GACCUGUGACCUGGGAACCCCCAGGCAGUUAGAACUGAACUCAGACACGUCACCCCCAUGAAAGCCACAGCUCCAUCACUGCACUGUGGAUAUGGUUGUAAAUAAUCCCUGCUCAAUAAAUCAGGGUGACAAAUGACUGCUCUUCUCUCUCACUGACGCCCACCACCACCCAUGUAUUACCUCAUCACUCUCUUUUCUUACAGUUGUGCCUUCUUGCCAAGAGCUCCUGGUUUUUUUUCUGCUGUUCCAGGGGAAAGCCUUCAGGGAUUGUGCUCCCUUCCCCACACAGAGGUGCCCACAGCCAGAUGCAGCAGGGCCCAGACUGAGUCUGGGGAGGAGACCAGCCAAGGCAGAUCUCUUCAGAUAGGCAGCUGACCUUCUUGGCAGCUCCAGCCUGAAGAUAACCAAGUGGAGAGACCAGGGAUACCAUGCAAGAUCUUUCCUCAGCAAAUAUGGGGUGCUGCUUGGCUGAUGGAAAGGUGCCUUUAAGGAAAAGUGGUGUAACUCUCCUGAUGUAAUCAUUACAUAAGGAUUUCAUCAAAAUGACUGCUGCGUUUACAAAGGCAUCAGUAAACAGAGAAUACCCCUGACAGGUCAGAAGUGAUAACAUUUUCCUGACGCAGCACAUAAAUUGCCAAAGAGGCAGGUCUCAUCCCCACCCAAUGAGACAGAAUUGAAGAAAACCAUUUCUGCAGUUCCAGUUGGUGUCCUUCGCUCCACCAGGAUUCCGUGGGAUGGAGCCCAACACCUUUCGGGAAGUCUCCUCAUGGUUGUCCUCAGCUCUCUGGCAGCUUCCCCUCUCUUCCAUGACCACGUGCCAGCACACAGCCUUUUGCACAAGCAGUUGCCAUCACCUGUGCCUGGAAAAGGAAUUCCCCCAUCCCCACAUCCCGCUGUGUUUGCCGCAGUGCAGGGUUUCCACCAAGGCAGGCCACAAGUCCUGCUGCUGGAAGUUGCAGUCCAAGGCUUCCUGAGAAGCUGAGAGCCUGGUCUCACACUGCAGCCCCCAAACCUUGCCAAGCUGUGCUCCCAGUGCCACUAAUGGCUUAUCUCCCAGUUGCAACUACUUAGGAGGUGCAAGUGGAUUUGUACAUCUUGCGUUCCCUUGGAUGGGUCGGAGCCCCUGGCUGCAAUCCCAGCAUCUCCCACUGGCUGACUGGAGACAUCCAUCCUGCUCCACCACAGGAGAGGCCAUUCCCUGUCCUGUUUUUAUCAGACAUGCCAGAGUUACUGAGAUAACAGAAAAUAAGACAGAACUGGAGACCACACCAGACAUGAGUCACGCUGGGGAUAUUUGAAUCAGUGGAGCUCCCCUCACUUCCAUAUCCCAUGUUGGGGGCAUGUUCAGCUCUUCCCAAAGCAUUUGUCCCACAGUAAGGCAGAGGAAUAAAUGUAUAUAAAUAAUGUAAUACCCACCACUAGUUCUUGAGAUACUUGAAUGGCAUUUCAAGGCUAGAGCUUGGGAUUUUGUUUGGAUGGAGAACAUUGCUCCUCUGUUUGCUUUUUUAUUUAAAUGAUCACAGAAUGAGAUAUUAAAGUCUUGUCUACACUGGAAAAAAAAAUAAAAUAAACUGGUUUAUAUCACAAAACCAAAGCAGACAGCUUCAUGCAGACACCACUAUGUGACAUUAGAGUCUUUUAUUGAUUUCACUUACACCUCUUGGGAAUAGCUCACAUUUAAAGUCAAAUAUAAAAGGCCAUUUUUAUACUGGAAUAUUUCUGUAGAGAGGAGAUGAUGGUGUAACUGCACCACGUAUAUUAUAAGGAACUUCUAACACUUUGAUAAGUAGACAAGGUCUUUGAGAUUGCAUGAGGGAGUGAUUCCAGAUAUGAAUCUUGGCCCAAAAACAGGCUUGAGGCUUAUUCCUACACAUCAGGGUUCAGGCCCUCAGCUGGGGUAAGCUGAUGCUACUCCAUUGAUUUUUGAAAAACUAAACCAAUUUCCAGCAGAGGAGAAUCUGCUCCAGAUUUCCCAGCUGCCCUAUCAAAAAUCUUCUCAGAGUAUUGACUGGGGAAAGAAAACAGGCCUCAGCCUGAUAUGAAAGAACAUAAUAGACCUUUAAUUUAAUUGACU
Molecule: long non-coding RNA, 2074 nt
Organism: Lepidothrix coronata (blue-crowned manakin)
Lineage: Eukaryota; Metazoa; Chordata; Aves; Passeriformes; Pipridae
Exons: 3
Source: RefSeq, a predicted model, not a curated record